Molecule: small RNA, 352 nt
Filed under: Pongo abelii (Sumatran orangutan)
Lineage: Eukaryota; Metazoa; Chordata; Mammalia; Primates; Hominidae
Description: processed transcript
Source: RNAcentral
AGCGUUCGCCUUCAGCCACCAUGGGGAAUGGGAUGAACAAGAUCCUGCCUGGCCUGUACAUCGGCAACUUCAAAGAUGCCAGAGAUGCGGAACAAUUGAGCAAGAACAAGGACAAGACAUUUCAAAGAAAGUAUUAAAUUCAUUCACGAGUGCCGGCUCCGUGGUGAGAGCUGCCUUGUACACUGCCUGGCCGGGGUCUCCAGGAGCGUGACGCUGGUGAUCGCGUACAUCAUGACCGUGACCGACUUUGGCUGGGAGGAUGCCCUGCACACCGUGCGUGCUGGGAGAUCCUGUGCCAACCCCAACGUGGGCUUCCAGAGACAGCUCCAGGAGUUUGAGAAGCAUGAGGUCC